GGAAACGGCAACUAAUACCGUAUACGCCCUAUGGGGGAAAGAUUUAUUGCUAUUAGAUGAGCCUAUAUUAGAUUAGCUAGUUGGUGGGGUAAUGGCUUACCAAGGCAAUGAUCUAUAGCUGAUCUGAGAGGAUGAUCAGCCACACUGGAACUGAGAUACAGUCCAGACUCCUACGGGAGGCAGCAGUGGGGAAUAUUGGACAAUGGGCGAAAGCCUGAUCCAGCCAUGCCGCAUGAGUGAAGAAGGCCUUUGGGUUGUAAAGCUCUUUCAGUGAGGAAGAUAAUGACGGUACUCACAGAAGAAGUCCUGGCUAACUCCGUGCCAGCAGCCGCGGUAAUACGGAGAGGGCUAGCGUUAUUCGGAAUUAUUGGGCGUAAAGGGCGCGUAGGCUGGUUAGUAAGUUAAAAGUGAAAUCCCAAAGCUCAACUUUGGAAUUGCUUUUAAAACUGCUAAUCUAGAGGUUGAAAGAGGAUAGAGGAAUUCCUAGUGUAGAGGUGAUAUUCGUAAAUAUUAGGAGGAACACCAGUGGCGAAGGCGUCUAUCUGGUUCAAAUCUAACGCUGAGGCGCGAAGGCGUGUGGAGCAAACAGGAUUAGAUACCCUGGUAGUCCACGCUGUAAACGAUGAAUGUUAAAUAUGGGAAGUUUACUUUCUGUAUCACAGCUAACGCGUUAAGCAUUCCGCCUGGGGACUACGGUCGCAAGAUUAAAACUCAAAGGAAUUGACGGGGACCCGCACAAGCGGUGGAGCAUGUGGUUUAAUUCGAUGCAACGCGAAAAACCUUACCACUCCUUGACAUGGAAAUUAUACCUAUUCGAAGGAAUAGGGUCGGUUAGGCCGGAUUUCACACAGGUGUUGCAUGGCUGUCGUCAGCUCGUGUCGUGAGAUGUUGGGUUAAGUCCGGCAACGAGCGUAACCCUCAUCCUUAGUUACCAUCAGGUAAUGCUGGGGACUUUAAGGAAACUGCUAGUGAUAAACUGGAGGAAGGUGGGGAUGAUGUCAAGUCAUCAUGGCCCUUAUGGAGUGGGCUACACACGUGCUACAAUGGUGGCUACAAUGGGCUGCAAAGUCGCGAGGCCAAGCCAAUCCCUUAAAAGCCAUCUCAGUUCGGAUUGUACUCUGCAACUCGAGUGCAUGAAGUUGGAAUCGCUAGUAAUCGUGGAUCAGCAUGCCACGGUGAAUACGUUCUCGGGUCUUGUACACACUGCCCGUCACGCCAUGGGAAUUGGUUUCACUCGAAA
This 1240-nucleotide ribosomal RNA is filed under the name Wolbachia endosymbiont of Litomosoides hamletti. RNAcentral describes it as "bacterial SSU rRNA". It matches the Rfam family "Bacterial small subunit ribosomal RNA", at positions 152 to 1426 of the family's 1533-position model. The record is from RNAcentral. Lineage: Bacteria; Pseudomonadati; Pseudomonadota; Alphaproteobacteria; Rickettsiales; Anaplasmataceae.